Molecule: non-coding RNA, 133 nt
Organism: Triticum aestivum (bread wheat)
Lineage: Eukaryota; Viridiplantae; Streptophyta; Magnoliopsida; Poales; Poaceae
Source: Rfam
UUAAUAUCACUCCGUCCGAAAAUGCUUAUCAUCAAAAUGGAUAAAAAAGAUACAUCUAGAUGUAUUUUAGUUCUAAAUACAUCACUCUUUAUCCAUUUUGAUGACAAGUAUUUUCGGACGGAGGAAGUAUAUU